Molecule: ribosomal RNA, 467 nt
Filed under: uncultured bacterium
Lineage: Bacteria
Description: partial 16S ribosomal RNA
Rfam family: Bacterial small subunit ribosomal RNA
Source: RNAcentral
ACUCACGCUUGCGGCGUGCUUAACCCCUGCAAGUCGCACGGAAAGGCCCUGCUUUUGUGGGGUGCUCGAGUGGCGAACGGGUGAGUAACACGUGAGUAACCUGCCCUUGACUUUGGGAUAACUUCAGGAAACUGGGGCUAAUACCGGAAAGGAGCUCCUGCUGCAUGGGGGGGGUUGGAAAGUUUCGGCGGUUGGGGAUGGACUCGCGGCUUAUCGGCUUGGUGGGGGGGUAGUGGCUUACCAAGGCUUUGACGGGUAGCCGGCCUGAGAGGGUGACCGGCCACAUUGGGACUGCGGUACGGCCCAGACUCCUACGGGAGGCAGCAGUGGGGAAUAUUGCACAAUGGGCGGAAGCCUGAUGCAGCAACGCCGCGUGCGUGAUGACGGCCUUCGGGUUGUAAACCGCUUUCGCCUGUGACGAAGCGUGAGUGACGGUAAUGGGUAAAGAAGCACCGGCUAACUACGUG